Long non-coding RNA from Sinocyclocheilus rhinocerous, 283 nucleotides. RefSeq lists it as uncharacterized. NCBI's taxonomy places the organism in Eukaryota, Metazoa, Chordata, Actinopteri, Cypriniformes, Cyprinidae. The record is from RefSeq and is a predicted model, not a curated record. The transcript is spliced from 3 exons.
UGGACACCCCUGCUUUAAAUCAUGUUAACAUGCAUAUUGAUUAUGUCCUGUGUCUAUAUUAUUGAAGCAGUGGGUAUUUUAAUAAUGGAUUGGCCAUUAACUUCCAUUGAGCUGGAGUCUCUCUACAGGAGACUAUGAGAUACCUGGAGUCUCAGUAUCUUGAGGAGAUCGAGGUCAUGCUUAGGGGCCAGGAUCUGUUCUUCGACUGCGUGGAAGCCGAGAUCAAAUUCUACCAGUGAAACAGAGCAAGUAAACAGAGAAAUUUGUCUUUGUGAACGUCACU